GUUAAUAAAAAUUAAGGUCUACCUAUCUAGGUGUGUACCAUAUUUUUAUUUCCUUCUUUUUGAAUACACUCCAUCUAACAUAGUUAUUUGGAUAAAAGUGUUUCAAAUCUUUUACUGUGAAGAAAUUAGAGUGUUCAAAGCAGGCGUAUUUUAGUCUUUGAAUAUAUUAGCAUGGGAUAAUGAAAUAGGACUUUAGUUCUACUUUCGUUGGUUUCUAGAGCUGAAGUA
Molecule: ribosomal RNA, 228 nt
Filed under: uncultured fungus
Lineage: Eukaryota; Fungi
Description: partial small subunit ribosomal RNA
Rfam family: Eukaryotic small subunit ribosomal RNA (bases 103-228)
Source: RNAcentral